UAGAUUGAAGCCAGUUGAUUAAGGUAUUUAGCUGUUAACUAAAAGUUCGUAAGAUAUAAGCUUACCAAUCUAG
Molecule: transfer RNA, 73 nt
Filed under: Elephantulus brachyrhynchus (short-snouted elephant shrew)
Lineage: Eukaryota; Metazoa; Chordata; Mammalia; Macroscelidea; Macroscelididae
Description: tRNA-Asn
Rfam family: tRNA
About the family: Transfer RNA (tRNA) molecules are approximately 80 nucleotides in length. Their secondary structure includes four short double-helical elements and three loops (D, anti-codon, and T loops). Further hydrogen bonds mediate the characteristic L-shaped molecular structure. tRNAs have two regions of fundamental functional importance: the anti-codon, which is responsible for specific mRNA codon recognition, and the 3' end, to which the tRNAs corresponding amino acid is attached (by aminoacyl-tRNA synthetases). tRNAs cope with the degeneracy of the genetic code in two manners: having more than one tRNA (with a specific anti-codon) for a particular amino acid; and 'wobble' base-pairing, i.e. permitting non-standard base-pairing at the 3rd anti-codon position.
Source: RNAcentral